CAAUCUGCCUUGGAGUGGGGGAAUAACGGUUGGAAACAGCCGCUAAUACCGCAUGAUGUAUCUGUGUCGCAUGGCACUGGAUACCAAAGAUUUAUCGCUCUGAGAUGAGCUCGCGUCUGAUUAGCUGGUUGGCAGGGUAACGGCCUACCAAAGCGACGAUCAGUAGCCGGCUUGAGAGAGUGAACGGCCACAUUGGGACUGAGACACGGCCCAAACUCCUACGGAAGGCAGCAG
RNAcentral lists this ribosomal RNA (234 nucleotides) under uncultured bacterium. RNAcentral's name for it is "partial 16S ribosomal RNA". It matches the Rfam family "Bacterial small subunit ribosomal RNA", at positions 122 to 354 of the family's 1533-position model. The record is from RNAcentral.